AUGCGGGAGGAGAAGAAGGAGGGGUAGGAGGAGGGGAGGCCAUGAAUACAGAUGAGAAAAGCGGGGGAAGAAGAAAAAGAGAGUUUGUGCAGGCUGAAACCUGAACCUUGUUUAUCUUCGUUGAGCUUCGUCUUUGGCUUCAGUGAUUUCCUGGACGCUCAAGUUUACCUACAUUUUGUGGAUUACGUUCUGGAUUUUGUGUUUUGGAUUAAGCUGGCAGCUUCCUGGAAAUUCCUGACUCCUGAACCAAGGCAGAGGCGUACCCUGUCCACCCUCCAAUGCAAGUACCUGAACAUUCAACUCUCAUGAACUCACCAGUAUU
Long non-coding RNA from Girardinichthys multiradiatus, 322 nucleotides. RefSeq lists it as uncharacterized. The transcript has 2 exons. NCBI's taxonomy places the organism in Eukaryota, Metazoa, Chordata, Actinopteri, Cyprinodontiformes, Goodeidae. The record is from RefSeq and is a predicted model, not a curated record.